Chelonia mydas (Green sea turtle) is the source of this 742-nucleotide long non-coding RNA. RefSeq lists it as uncharacterized. NCBI's taxonomy places the organism in Eukaryota, Metazoa, Chordata, Testudines, Cheloniidae. The record is from RefSeq and is a predicted model, not a curated record. The transcript has 4 exons.
GAAGCCCUGGAAGACGUCCUAUCAAUGGCUAGUGCCCAAUGGGACUCUGUCCAUGUGGGACAUUGAUACCCAGAAGGGGAGAGACUUUAAGGUGACCUGGCUGUAGGGCUGCUGCCACAGGCAUGGAGUGACUACUUGCCAGCGGCACUAGAGAGGAGACAGUCCACUGAGCCACCACAGCCAGCCACGAAGGGCUGCUCCAGCGGUUGGCCAUCCCUGCGGUAUGCUGCCUCCGUUCCUGAAUGACUCCCUGGUGGAUUGGAGACUGUCCAGUUUGACCAAUGUACAUGGCAGAGGGGCAUUGCUGGCACAUGAUGGCAUCUAUCACAUUGGUGGAUGUGCAGGGAGGAAGCUCCUCGACACUGAGAAAUGCCCAUGCAGUGGGGAAACACAACAGCACCAGCCUUUUAAUGUCACUGAGCCUGUGCAGAGCGAUUCCUUCCUGCGCUUGGGCGGGUGGUGCGGCAUCCUGGAGAUAACAACACGUGCUGGCUCGCAGCGGCUGCUCCACAAUGAGCCUGCUUCCAAAAUGCCUCAGUUUCCCCAGCUGUCAAUGAGAGGUGAUACUUACUGUCUUUGCUCUGUGAUCUUUGGAUGAAAAAUACCCCAUAGGUGUCAAGUUGUUAUCAAAAUUAAUAAUAGCAAUAUUAUAACUAAAUCAUAAUAGUCUCUGCCUCUGACCUGCUGGGACUUGCCCAAGGUCAUACUUCCCCUCUCUGUGCCCCAGUUUCCCGUCUUGUCU